Molecule: ribosomal RNA, 223 nt
Filed under: uncultured bacterium
Lineage: Bacteria
Description: partial 16S ribosomal RNA
Rfam family: Bacterial small subunit ribosomal RNA
Source: RNAcentral
UACGAAGGGUGCAAACGUUGCUCGGAAUCAUUGGGCGUAAAGCGCACGUAGGCGGCUUCGCAAGUCGGAUGUGAAAUCCCUCGGCUCAACCGAGGACGUGCAUCCGAAACUGCGAGCUUGAGUACUGAAGAGGAUCGCGGAAUUCCCGGUAGAGGUGAAAUUCGUAGAUAUCGGGAGGAACACCAGUGGCGAAGGCGGCGAUCUGGGCAGUUCUGACGCUGAG